AGCGUACACGGUGGAUGCCCUGGCAGUCAGAGGCGAUGAAGGACGUGCUAAUCUGCGAUAAGCGUCGGUAAGGUGAUAUGAACCGUUAUAACCGGCGAUUUCCGAAUGGGGAAACCCAGUGUGUUUCGACACACUAUCAUUAACUGAAUCCAUAGGUUAAUGAGGCGAACCGGGGGAACUGAAACAUCUAAGUACCCCGAGGAAAAGAAAUCAACCGAGAUUCCCCCAGUAGCGGCGAGCGAACGGGGAGCAGCCCAGAGCCUGAAUCAGUGUGUGUGUUAGUGGAAGCGUCUGGAAAGGCGCGCGAUACAGGGUGACAGCCCCGUACACAAAAAUGCACAUGCUGUGAGCUCGAUGAGUAGGGCGGGACACGUGGUAUCCUGUCUGAAUAUGGGGGGACCAUCCUCCAAGGCUAAAUACUCCUGACUGACCGAUAGUGAACCAGUACCGUGAGGGAAAGGCGAAAAGAACCCCGGCGAGGGGAGUGAAAAAGAACCUGAAACCGUGUACGUACAAGCAGUGGGAGCACGCUUCGGCGUGUGACUGCGUACCUUUUGUAUAAUGGGUCAGCGACUUAUAUUCUGUAGCAAGGUUAACCGAAUAGGGGAGCCGAAGGGAAACCGAGUCUUAACUGGGCGUUAAGUUGCAGGGUAUAGACCCGAAACCCGGUGAUCUAGCCAUGGGCAGGUUGAAGGUUGGGUAACACUAACUGGAGGACCGAACCGACUAAUGUUGAAAAAUUAGCGGAUGACUUGUGGCUGGGGGUGAAAGGCCAAUCAAACCGGGAGAUAGCUGGUUCUCCCCGAAAGCUAUUUAGGUAGCGCCUCGUGAACUCAUCUCCGGGGGUAGAGCACUGUUUCGGCAAGGGGGUCAUCCCGACUUACCAACCCGAUGCAAACUGCGAAUACCGGAGAAUGUUAUCACGGGAGACACACGGCGGGUGCUAACGUCCGUCGUGAAGAGGGAAACAACCCAGACCGCCAGCUAAGGUCCCAAAGUCAUGGUUAAGUGGGAAACGAUGUGGGAAGGCCCAGACAGCCAGGAUGUUGGCUUAGAAGCAGCCAUCAUUUAAAGAAAGCGUAAUAGCUCACUGGUCGAGUCGGCCUGCGCGGAAGAUGUAACGGGGCUAAACCAUGCACCGAAGCUGCGGCAGCGACGCUUAUGCGUUGUUGGGUAGGGGAGCGUUCUGUAAGCCUGUGAAGGUGUACUGUGAGGUAUGCUGGAGGUAUCAGAAGUGCGAAUGCUGACAUAAGUAACGAUAAAGCGGGUGAAAAGCCCGCUCGCCGGAAGACCAAGGGUUCCUGUCCAACGUUAAUCGGGGCAGGGUGAGUCGACCCCUAAGGCGAGGCCGAAAGGCGUAGUCGAUGGGAAACAGGUUAAUAUUCCUGUACUUGGUGUUACUGCGAAGGGGGGACGGAGAAGGCUAUGUUGGCCGGGCGACGGUUGUCCCGGUUUAAGCGUGUAGGCUGGUUUUCCAGGCAAAUCCGGAAAAUCAAGGCUGAGGCGUGAUGACGAGGCACUACGGUGCUGAAGCAACAAAUGCCCUGCUUCCAGGAAAAGCCUCUAAGCAUCAGGUAACAUCAAAUCGUACCCCAAACCGACACAGGUGGUCAGGUAGAGAAUACCAAGGCGCUUGAGAGAACUCGGGUGAAGGAACUAGGCAAAAUGGUGCCGUAACUUCGGGAGAAGGCACGCUGAUAUGUAGGUGAAGCGACUUGCUCGUGGAGCUGAAAUCAGUCGAAGAUACCAGCUGGCUGCAACUGUUUAUUAAAAACACAGCACUGUGCAAACACGAAAGUGGACGUAUACGGUGUGACGCCUGCCCGGUGCCGGAAGGUUAAUUGAUGGGGUCAGCGCAAGCGAAGCUCUUGAUCGAAGCCCCGGUAAACGGCGGCCGUAACUAUAACGGUCCUAAGGUAGCGAAAUUCCUUGUCGGGUAAGUUCCGACCUGCACGAAUGGCGUAAUGAUGGCCAGGCUGUCUCCACCCGAGACUCAGUGAAAUUGAACUCGCUGUGAAGAUGCAGUGUACCCGCGGCAAGACGGAAAGACCCCGUGAACCUUUACUAUAGCUUGACACUGAACAUUGAGCCUUGAUGUGUAGGAUAGGUGGGAGGCUUUGAAGUGUGGACGCCAGUCUGCAUGGAGCCGACCUUGAAAUACCACCCUUUAAUGUUUGAUGUUCUAACGUUGACCCGUAAUCCGGGUUGCGGACAGUGUCUGGUGGGUAGUUUGACUGGGGCGGUCUCCUCCUAAAGAGUAACGGAGGAGCACGAAGGUUGGCUAAUCCUGGUCGGACAUCAGGAGGUUAGUGCAAUGGCAUAAGCCAGCUUGACUGCGAGCGUGACGGCGCGAGCAGGUGCGAAAGCAGGUCAUAGUGAUCCGGUGGUUCUGAAUGGAAGGGCCAUCGCUCAACGGAUAAAAGGUACUCCGGGGAUAACAGGCUGAUACCGCCCAAGAGUUCAUAUCGACGGCGGUGUUUGGCACCUCGAUGUCGGCUCAUCACAUCCUGGGGCUGAAGUAGGUCCCAAGGGUAUGGCUGUUCGCCAUUUAAAGUGGUACGCGAGCUGGGUUUAGAACGUCGUGAGACAGUUCGGUCCCUAUCUGCCGUGGGCGCUGGAGAACUGAGGGGGGCUGCUCCUAGUACGAGAGGACCGGAGUGGACGCAUCACUGGUGUUCGGGUUGUCAUGCCAAUGGCACUGCCCGGUAGCUAAAUGCGGAAGAGAUAAGUGCUGAAAGCAUCUAAGCACGAAACUUGCCCCGAGAUGAGUUCUCCCUGACUCCUUGA
Molecule: ribosomal RNA, 2787 nt
Filed under: Escherichia coli
Lineage: Bacteria; Pseudomonadati; Pseudomonadota; Gammaproteobacteria; Enterobacterales; Enterobacteriaceae
Description: bacterial LSU rRNA
Rfam family: Bacterial large subunit ribosomal RNA
Source: RNAcentral